GUAAAAUUACACAUGCAAAUAUCCGUACCCCAGUGAAUUUUGCCCUAAUUUCCGCAAAUUAGAAAAAAAGGAGCAGGUAUAAAGCACACUAAACGAAAUUAGUAGCUUAAAACACCAGGUCCAACCACGCCCCCACGGGAUACAGCAGUGAUAAAAAUUAGGCAAUGAACGAAAGUUUGACUAAGCAAUACUAAUUCAAGGGUUGGUAAAUUUCGUGCCAGCCACCGCGGUCAUACGAUUAACCCUAGUUAAUAUCAAAACGGCGUAAAGAGUGCUAAAAACUUUACCAAAUAAAACUAAGCCUAAUUGAAGCUGUAGAAAGCACUAAUUAGAACGAAAAAUACAUCACGAAAGUAGUUUUAUAUAACUGCAGCACUAAAGCUAUAUAGCACAAACUGGGAUUAGAUACCCCACUAUAAUUAGCCAUAAACAUAAGUAGAUAUAGUAACAAAUUUAUUCGCCUGAGAACUACAAGCAACCGCUAGAAACUCAAAGGACUUGGCGGUGCUUUACAUCCGUCUAGAGGAGCCUGUUCCGAAACCGAUAAACCCCGAUAUACCUUACCACUUCUUGUUAAUUCAGCCUGUAUACCGCCAUCUUCAGCAAACCCUAACAAGGAACAUUAGUAAGCAAAAGCUUUAUAAACUAAUAAAAAAGUUAGGUCAAGGUGUAGCCAAUGAAGUGGAGUGCAAUGGGCUACAUUUUCUACCAGUAGAACAUCACGAAUUUCUCUCUAAAAACAGAGAAUAAAGGAGGAUUUAGUAGUAAAUUAAGAGGAGAGCUUAAU
RNAcentral lists this ribosomal RNA (787 nucleotides) under Cratogeomys castanops (yellow-faced pocket gopher). RNAcentral describes it as "partial 12S ribosomal RNA". The record is from RNAcentral. Lineage: Eukaryota; Metazoa; Chordata; Mammalia; Rodentia; Geomyidae.